This 253-nucleotide ribosomal RNA is filed under the name uncultured bacterium. Its description in RNAcentral is "partial 16S ribosomal RNA". It matches the Rfam family "Bacterial small subunit ribosomal RNA", at positions 524 to 776 of the family's 1533-position model. The record is from RNAcentral.
UACAGAGGUGGCGAGCGUUAUCCGGAAUUAUUGGGCGUAAAGGGUACGUAGGCGGCUGGUCAAGUCUGGGGUCAAAGGCCACAGCUCAACUGUGGGAAGGCCCUGGAAACUGACCGGCUAGAGUGAGGUAGGGGUUGCGGGAAUUCCCGGUGUAGCGGUGAAAUGCGUAGAGAUCGGGAAGAACACCUGAGGCGGAAGCGCGCAACUGGGCCUCAACUGACGCUGAGGUACGAAAGCUAGGGGAGCGAAUGGG